UGGGGAAUAUUGGACAAUGGGCGGAAGCCUGAUCCAGCAACGCCGCGUGAGGGAUGACGGCCUUCGGGUUGUAAACCUCUUUCAGCACAGACGAAGCGAAAGUGACGGUAUGUGCAGAAGAAGCACCGGCCAACUACGUGCCAGCAGCCGCGGUAAUACGUAGGGUGCGAGCGUUGUCCGGAAUUAUUGGGCGUAAAGGGCUCGUAGGCGGCUUGUCGCGUCGGGAGUGAAAACACACAGCUUAACUGUGUGCUGGCUUCCGAUACGGGCAGACUAGAGGUAUGCAGGGGAGAACGGAAUUCCUGGUGUAGCGGUGAAAUGCGCAGAUAUCAGGAGGAACACCGGUGGCGAAGGCGGUUCUCUGGGCAUUACCUGACGCUGAGGAGCGAAAGUGUGGGGAGCGAACAGGAUUAGAUACCCUGGUAGUCCACACCGUAAACGUUGGGCGCUAGGUGUGGGGCCUAUUCCAUGGGUUCCGUGCCGCAGCUAACGCAUUAAGCGCCCCGCCUGGGGAGUACGGCCGCAAGGCUAA
Molecule: ribosomal RNA, 532 nt
Filed under: uncultured Nocardioides sp.
Lineage: Bacteria; Bacillati; Actinomycetota; Actinomycetes; Propionibacteriales; Nocardioidaceae
Description: bacterial SSU rRNA
Rfam family: Bacterial small subunit ribosomal RNA
Source: RNAcentral